GUGGAGAAAAACACAUGAACUGGACUCUAACAAGACCUAACCAGCAACAAGACCUCGACCAGGACACAAACUCAACACUGCGGACUCUGAAACUGAAAUAUGCAGAGGCUAUGGCGCGGAAGGGUUGUAGGACAGGAAAACGAUGUGGCACUGGACUUAUGGGACGAACACAAGAACACCCGAAACUAAGGGUAGAUAUGAACCUAACGGUAUACCUCAAGCUUUGAUUACCACUUGAUGAGAACAAGGGUGGUCAGAUCUUCCAAAAUGUUCUGGUAACUCUCGAUUUGGUGGAGACGAGGCACAAAUCGAUCCGGCUUCCGAACAACACGAUCUGAAACCAUGCAAGUUUUUUUUUAUUUUUUUGAUAUUUUUCUUUUAUUUAGGAGCACUAAAGAAGUAACCACAGAAAUUUGAGCUUAAACAAGUGAUAGACGUGGCCUGCGGAAUUCUCUGAAGAUUGCGAAAAAUGUGAAAAAAACUUCACGAGGUGAAAACUCAAACUUCGGUGGUGAAUUUGGAGAUUAUAAAAUUGUCAAACCCCCCAAAGGCGGGGACAGACAGAUCCAAAAAAAUUUUCUCAUCGAUUUUGAUAAAUGGAACGUUGUAAUCGGAGUUCAUAUUCGAAAGUUAUGUCGUUUUACGAACGGACUCCGAAUUAGAGGACAAAACGGUCCGAAAGUGGGAAAAAUUUGCAGCGGUGGCUAGAAAUUGAUGGAAACGGUGCGGAAAAACACAUUAACGGGACUCUAACAAGACCUAACCAGCAACAAGACCUCGACCAGGACACAAACUCAACACUGCGAACUCUGAAACUGGAAUAUGCAAAGGCUAUGGCGCGGAAGGGUUGUAGGACAGGAAAACGAUAUGGCACUGGACUUAUGGGACGAACACAAGAACACCCAAAACUAAGGGUAGAUGUGAACCUAACGGUAUACCUCAAGCUUUGAUUACCACUUGAUGAGAACAAGGGUGGUCCGAUCUUCCGAAAGGUUCUGGUAACUCUCGAUUUGCUGGAGACGAGGCACAAAUCGAUCCGGCUUCCGAACAACACGAUCUGAAACCAUGCAAGUUUUUUUUAUUUUUUUAAUAUUUUUGUUUGACUUAGGAGCACUAAAGAAGUAACCCCAGAAAAUUUGAGCUUAAACAAGUGAAAGACGUGGCCUGCGGAAUUCUCUGAAGAUUGCGAAAAAUGUGAAAAAACUUCACGAGGUGAAAACUCAAACUUCGGU
Molecule: long non-coding RNA, 1232 nt
Filed under: Sorghum bicolor (sorghum)
Lineage: Eukaryota; Viridiplantae; Streptophyta; Magnoliopsida; Poales; Poaceae
Description: long non-coding RNA (SBIC_LNC004836)
Source: RNAcentral